GAAAGCUGAAUGCGGGAAAACUGCACGUCCAGCUUGAGCGGCGGACGGAAGCAAGCUUUUCAGUAGGCGUCUCCUGCGACCCGAC
This 85-nucleotide unclassified non-coding RNA is filed under the name Nitrosomonas communis. The record is from RNAcentral. Lineage: Bacteria; Pseudomonadati; Pseudomonadota; Betaproteobacteria; Nitrosomonadales; Nitrosomonadaceae.